This 963-nucleotide long non-coding RNA is filed under the name Homo sapiens (human). RNAcentral describes it as "HSALNT0208962". Lineage: Eukaryota; Metazoa; Chordata; Mammalia; Primates; Hominidae. The record is from RNAcentral.
CCUGCCUCAGCUUCCGGAGCAGCUGGGACUGCUGGCGCCCGCCACUACGCUCGGCUAAUUUUUUUGUGUUUUUAGUAGAGACGGGCUUUCACCGUGUUGGCCUAGCGGUUCUCCAACUCCUGACCUCAUGAUCCCCCCGCCUCAGCCUCCCAAAGUGCUGGGAUUACAAGCGUGAGCCACCGCGACCCGCCAACACUCUUGACAACAGUGCUGUGCUAAGAACUUGGGGGACUUCAAAAAGUUCACCAGUUCCUGUGUCCAUGGGUGAAAAGAUUUUCUACAUCUUUCCUUGACUAGAAACAGAAGUCCUGAAACAAGGUACACCUUCUUGAGGCUUACUUGGUGAGUCUAAUUUGUCUUCUGGCACCACUGUGAAUUUGAAGGCUUACGUCUUCUUCCCUGAUCAUAUGUUUUCUACAUGUCAGGAAUAUAACGUCAGGAGGCCAGAGGCUUUGUCCUGCCUAAUGUGUUAUUUCCACACUGAAUAAAAGCACCUGAGUCCUGGUCUCAGAGUGAGAACAAUGUCUUCUAUGAUGAGUGGCAAACACAACAAGGCAUUUUAAAAAGGUUGUACAUCUAGCAAUACCUAACAAAAUAGGAAAUCAACUUGGAAAGCCAAUGGCUGUGUUUUGAGUUUAUGGAGAGCCAUAUGUGGCAAGGAACUGAGGGUGGCAUCCAGGCAACAGACUUCAAGAAACUGAGGCUGUCAGUCCAACAACCCACAAGAACUGAAUCUGACCAACAAUCACAGGAACAAACUUAGAAGUAUACUCUUUCCCAGACAAACCUUCAGAUGAGACCACAGCCCCAGCCAUAAGCUUGAAAACAAUCUCAUGAGGGACCUUGAGCCACAGGCAUGUAGUAAAGCUAUGCCAGGAAUCCUGCCUGCCCCACAGAAAAUGUAAAAAAAAUAAAUUUUUAUUGUUUUAAGCCACGAAGUUUUGAAGUAAUUUGAUAUAAAAC